RNAcentral lists this ribosomal RNA (505 nucleotides) under uncultured bacterium. RNAcentral's name for it is "bacterial SSU rRNA". It matches the Rfam family "Bacterial small subunit ribosomal RNA", at positions 28 to 526 of the family's 1533-position model. The record is from RNAcentral.
GACGAACGCUGGCGGCGUGCUUAACACAUGCAAGUCGAACGAAGUUGCUCGAGAAGAAACCUUCGGGUGGAAACAUGAGUAUACUUAGUGGCGGACGGGUGAGUAACGCGUGAGCAACCUGCCCUGCAACGGGGGACAACAGUUGGAAACGACUGCUAAUACCGCAUAAGACCACGAUCUCGCAUGGGAUUGAGGUAAAAGGAUUGAUUCGAUGCAGGAUGGGCUCGCGUCCCAUUAGAUAGUUGGUGAGGUAACGGCUCACCAAGUCGACGAUGGGUAGCCGACCUGAGAGGGUGAUCGGCCACACUGGAACUGAGACACGGUCCAGACUCCUACGGGAGGCAGCAGUGGGGAAUAUUGGGCAAUGGGCGAAAGCCUGACCCAGCAACGCCGCGUGAAGGAAGAAGGUCUUCGGAUUGUAAACUUCUGUCCUUGGGGACGAAACAAAUGACGGUACCCAAGGAGGAAGCCCCGGCUAACUACGUGCCAGCCGCCGCCGUAAAAC